RNAcentral lists this long non-coding RNA (1050 nucleotides) under Salvia miltiorrhiza (redroot sage). RNAcentral's name for it is "long non-coding RNA (SMIL_LNC009218)". The record is from RNAcentral. Lineage: Eukaryota; Viridiplantae; Streptophyta; Magnoliopsida; Lamiales; Lamiaceae.
UCUGACAUUCCAAAUUCGUUCUCAUUUUUCACCAUAUUUAUCCAUUCUUUGAGCUAACUUUGUGGAAAAAUGGAAUUCUUGGUGAUUAACAUCCUAGGAUCAAUACAUCAGCCUUUGAACAGAGCUUUCAUCUUCCAUCAGUGAUCUUGAAUACAAAUCAUGAACAAAAUUAGGUUCAAAUAUUUAGAGUGUGUUUACUUUGAUGGAUAAAUUUACCAUGAAAAAAUGAGGGAUAACAAUAAUUUAUGCCUUUAAAUACCUCCUUUCUUUUCCCACAUUUUAUACAAAAAAGAAAUUGAUCAUUUCUCCUUCCUUAUUUUCACUUCAAGGAGGGAUAAUAUUAUCCUUUCAUUUUAAGGUAUAAUGAUCGAUUUGUAUUUAAUAUUUAUGUUUCUCUAGGAAAAGAAAGUACUAGUUUAUUUUUUUUAGAAAAAGGAUAGUGCACAAAGCUGGCCUUGGAUGCUCGAAAAAUGCCAUAUUUAAGUUAUAUUUUUCUUAUUUUUGUUCCUGGUCCUUCCUUAACUUGAAAUGUUUGUCAUGGCGAAUUGAGGAGGGCUCCUGCCUCUUUACUUAAGAUUUUUUUUUCCAACUUUGUCACAAGCAUGCUGUCACUUCACUUUUUUCCCUCUUAAUCUGUGUUCUAAUAUAUAUCUUUCUCCAAUUUCUAAUAUUUGAUUUACAUAUCAUGUGUGCUACCAUGCAAACUCUGUGCCGAUUGACGUAAUUUAAGCAAGGUAAAGACAAUCUUUUGAGAAUUGAGAAGAGAUGAAUAACCAGUUAUGGACAAGGUUCAAUUAACAUGUAGAGUUCUCUUCAUAACAUAUAAAUGUAAUUUCUUUCAUAUUUAAUUCAUACAGUAUGUAUAUAUCAUUCCAUAUCAGAAGACUGGACAAAAAACUAUCCAAAGUCUCAGAAAUGCAUGCACUUAGUGUUCUAGAAGCUACAAAUAUGUAAAUUAACAAGAAGAAAAAAAUCAAGCAAUAAAGAAUUAAGGAAAAGAAAAAGGUAGUUAUGCAACAUGUUCCCCUACGCAUUUCGUUUGCUGCGCCA